Molecule: ribosomal RNA, 155 nt
Filed under: Silene insularis
Lineage: Eukaryota; Viridiplantae; Streptophyta; Magnoliopsida; Caryophyllales; Caryophyllaceae
Description: 5.8S ribosomal RNA
Rfam family: 5.8S ribosomal RNA
About the family: 5.8S ribosomal RNA (5.8S rRNA) is a component of the large subunit of the eukaryotic ribosome. It is transcribed by RNA polymerase I as part of the 45S precursor that also contains 18S and 28S rRNA.
Source: RNAcentral
AACGACUCUCGGCAACGGAUAUCUCGGCUCUCGCAUCGAUGAAGAACGUAGCGAAAUGCGAUACUUGGUGUGAAUUGCAGAAUCCCGUGAACCAUCGAGUUUUUGAACGCAAGUUGCGNCCGAAGCUUUUAGCUGAGGGYACGUCUGCCUGGGCG